RNAcentral lists this ribosomal RNA (793 nucleotides) under uncultured Arcobacter sp. RNAcentral's name for it is "bacterial SSU rRNA". It matches the Rfam family "Bacterial small subunit ribosomal RNA", at positions 40 to 841 of the family's 1533-position model. Lineage: Bacteria; Pseudomonadati; Campylobacterota; Epsilonproteobacteria; Campylobacterales; Arcobacteraceae. The record is from RNAcentral.
CGGCGUGCUUAACACAUGCAAGUCGAACGAGAACGGGUUAUAGCUUGCUAUAAUUGUCAGCUAAGUGGCGCACGGGUGAGUAAUGUAUAGGUAAUAUGCCUCUUACUAAGGGAUAACAAAUGGAAACGUUUGCUAAUACCUUAUACUCCUUAUUAACAUAAGUUAAUAAGGGAAAGAUUUAUUGGUAAGAGAUUAGCCUGUAUUGUAUCAGUUAGUUGGUGGGGUAAUGGCUUACCAAGACUAUGACACAUAACUGGUUUUGGGAGGAUGAUCAGUCACACUGGAACUGGAGACACGGUCCAGACUCUUACGGGAGGCAGCAGUGGGGAAUAUUGCACAAUGGACGAAAGUCUGAUGCAGCAACGCCGCGUGGAGGAUGACACAUUUCGGUGCGUAAACUCCUUUUUUAUGAGAAGAUAAUGACGGUAUUAUAUGAAUAAGCACCGGCUAACUCCGUGCCAGCAGCCGCGGUAAUACGGGGGGUGCAAGCGUUACUCGGAAUCACUGGGCGUAAAGAGCAUGUAGGCGGAUUUAAUAAGUUUGAAGUGAAAUCCUAUAGCUUAACUAUAGAACUGCUUUGAAAACUGUUAAUCUAGAAUGUGGGAGAGGUAGAUGGAAUUUCUGGUGUAGGGGUAAAAUCCGUAGAGAUCAGAAGGAAUACCGAUUGCGAAGGCGAUCUACUGGAACAUUAUUGACGCUGAGAUGCGAAAGCGUGGGGAGCANACAGGAUUAGAUACACUGGUAGUCCACGCCCUAAACGAUGUACACUAGUUGUUGUGAGACUUGAUCUUGC